RNAcentral lists this ribosomal RNA (761 nucleotides) under uncultured marine haptophyte. RNAcentral describes it as "bacterial SSU rRNA". It matches the Rfam family "Bacterial small subunit ribosomal RNA", at positions 540 to 1309 of the family's 1533-position model. The record is from RNAcentral. Lineage: Eukaryota; Haptophyta.
GUUAUCCGGAAUCAUUGGGCGUAAAGCGCCUGUAGGUUGUUUAAUAAGUCCGUUGUUAAAGACUAGGGCUUAACCCUAGGAAAGCGAUGGAAACUGAUAGACUUGAGUAUGGCAGGGGUAGAGGGAAUUUCUAGUGUAGCGGUGAAAUGCGUAGAUAUUAGAAAGAACACCGGUGGCGAAAGCGCUCUACUGGACCAUUACUGACACUGAGAGGCGAAAGCUAGGGGAGCGAAAGGGAUUAGAUACCCCCGUAGUCCUAGCCGUAAACGAUGGAUACUAGAUGUUGUGCAAUUUGGACAGUAUCGUAGCUAACGCGUUAAGUAUCCCGCCUGGGGAGUACGCUCGCAAGGGUGAAACUCAAAGGAAUUGACGGGGGCCCGCACAAGCGGUGGAGCAUGUGGUUUAAUUCGAUGCAACGCGAAGAACCUUACCAGGGCUUGACAUACUACAGAUCUUUUUGAGAAAGAAGAGUGCCUUCGGGAAUGUAGAUACAGGUGGUGCAUGGCUGUCGUCAGCUCGUGUCGUGAGAUGUUGGGUUAAGUCCCGCAACGAGCGCAACCCUCGUUUUUAGUUGCCAAUUUAUUGGGAUCUCUAGAAAGACUGCCGGUGACAAACCGGAGGAAGGUGAGGAUGACGUCAAGUCAGCAUGCCCCUUAUGUCCUGGGCCACACACGUGCUACAAUGGUAAAGACAAAGAGUCGCCAAUUCGCGAGAAUGAGCUAAUCUCAUAAACUUUAUCUAAGUUCGGAUUGUAGGCUGCA